Cyanistes caeruleus (blue tit) is the source of this 777-nucleotide non-coding RNA. The record is from RefSeq and is a predicted model, not a curated record. NCBI's taxonomy places the organism in Eukaryota, Metazoa, Chordata, Aves, Passeriformes, Paridae.
GGUGUUAUGCUUGAAAAGGGAGUAAAUCUGUCAAAUACUAUCAGUAAAAUUGUUUAAAAAUAGGCUAAAUACAGUGGUUCUGUUUGGUGAUUCUGUAAUUGUACAGUAGAGCACUUUAACUCCUAGGAUAGAGGAGGGCUUUUUAGAGAGGUGAUGGAGUGAUAGUUAAAGUAUUUCAUUCUGAAGUAUGGAAUUUUGAAAACAAAAUAUAAUUGCUGGGAUCCUGGGUUUGAUAACAAGUUCUCCUUGUUCAGCAACCCAUGAAGGGAAGCAAUUUGGUGACUUUGCUGCCAGGUCAGUAGUGUCACUGGGAAAUGCUGUUUGCACUGCCACCUCUGGAAGUAAGGGUGGAAGACCUGAAAAGGGCUGCUUUUACACAACAGUUUUGAAGAACACCUCUGUGCAAGACAGCAUUCCAGCACUGCCUGUGUUCCCGUGGAUAGGGAUCCAUGGCUCAAGGCCUGAUUUUGCAAGAUAUAUUAGGACGAAGCAAAUCUCCUCUAAGUAGACAUCCAAUUACGAGGCUUGCAGUUUGGUGAUGCAUUCUGUGCUUGCUGGAUUUACAGGGCAAUAAUCUGGUGCAUACUGAUGAACCUCACUGGGGGACAGAGGUGUUUGCAGUGUGCUGUUUGGAUUGAGACAACCAUUACUUGGGAUAGAUAUGGAGGGGAAAGCAGACUUGUUUUUGUUGUGCUAAAUGUUCCAGUAAAGAUGGGCACAUUUUAUGCCAUCCUGCUGUGCAUCUUUUGAAACACUUCAUACACCCAAUCAAUCACA